Molecule: non-coding RNA, 72 nt
Organism: Acidaminococcus sp.
Lineage: Bacteria; Bacillati; Bacillota; Negativicutes; Acidaminococcales; Acidaminococcaceae
Source: Rfam
AAACAAGAUUUAUCGUGAGGAAGUCAGCAGAGGCCAUCGUACUGGACGGGUUAUAGACCGUCCAGGAAGGGC